This 88-nucleotide transfer RNA is filed under the name bacterium. RNAcentral's name for it is "tRNA-Leu". It matches the Rfam family "tRNA". Rfam says of the family: Transfer RNA (tRNA) molecules are approximately 80 nucleotides in length. Their secondary structure includes four short double-helical elements and three loops (D, anti-codon, and T loops). RNAcentral also lists the same sequence under 1 other name. The record is from RNAcentral.
GGCCUCGUGGUGGAAUUGGUAGACACAGCAGACUUAAAAUCUGCGGCCCGUAACGGGCGUGACGGUUCGAGUCCGUCCGAGGCCACCA